AGUGAACGCUGGCGGCGUGGAUUAGGCAUGCAAGUCGAACGAUCCCGCAAGGGAUAGUGGCGAAAGGGUGAGUAACGCGUGAGCAAUCUACCUUCGAGUGGGGAAUAACCCUGCGAAAGCGGGGCUAAGACCGCAUAAGACCACGGUGGGGCAUCCCACUGUGAUAAAAACGGGGACCGCAAGGCCUGUUGCUUGAAGAUGAGCUCGCGUCCUAUCAGCUUGUUGGUGAGGUAACGGCCCACCAAGGCUUUUGACGGGUAGCUGGUCUGAGAGGAUGGUCAGCCACAUUGGGACUGAGACACUGCCCAGACUCCUACGGGAGGCAG
RNAcentral lists this ribosomal RNA (326 nucleotides) under uncultured Omnitrophica bacterium. Its description in RNAcentral is "bacterial SSU rRNA". It matches the Rfam family "Bacterial small subunit ribosomal RNA", at positions 29 to 351 of the family's 1533-position model. The record is from RNAcentral. Lineage: Bacteria; Pseudomonadati; Candidatus Omnitrophota.